RNAcentral lists this ribosomal RNA (301 nucleotides) under uncultured bacterium. RNAcentral's name for it is "partial 16S ribosomal RNA". It matches the Rfam family "Bacterial small subunit ribosomal RNA", at positions 509 to 807 of the family's 1533-position model. The record is from RNAcentral.
CAGCCGCCACGGUAAAACGAAGGGGGCUAGCGUUGCUCGGAAUGACUGGGCGUAAAGGGCGCGUAGGCGGAUUGUUUAGUUAGCCGUGAAAUUCCUGGGCUUAACCUGGGGACUGCGCUUAAUACAGGCAGUCUAGAGUGAGGAAGAGGGUUGUGGAAUUCCCAGUGUAGAGGUGAAAUUCGUAGAUAUCGGAAGGAACACCAGUGGCGAAGGCGGCUACCUGGACUGACACUGACACUGAGGCGCGAAAGCGUGAGGAGCAAACAGGAUUAGAUACCCGCGUAGUCCCUGUCUCUUAUAC